AGCCCAGCUUGCUGGGUGGAUUAGUGGCGAACGGGUGAGUAACACGUGAGCAACCUGCCCCUGACUCUGGGAUAAGCGCUGGAAACGGCGUCUAAUACUGGAUACGAGUAGCGAUCGCAUGGUCAGUUACUGGAAAGAUUUUUUGGUUGGGGAUGGGCUCGCGGCCUAUCAGCUUGUUGGUGAGGUAAUGGCUCACCAAGGCGUCGACGGGUAGCCGGCCUGAGAGGGUGACCGGCCACACUGGGACUGAGACACGGCCCAGACUCCUACGGGAGGCAGCAGUGGGGAAUAUUGCACAAUGGGCGGAAGCCUGAUGCAGCAACGCCGCGUGAGGGAUGACGGCCUUCGGGUUGUAAACCUCUUUUAGCAGGGAAGAAGCGAGAGUGACGGUACCUGCAGAAAAAGCGCCGGCUAACUACGUGCCAGCAGCCGCGGUAAUACGUAGGGCGCAAGCGUUAUCCGGAAUUAUUGGGCGUAAAGAGCUCGUAGGCGGUUUGUCGCGUCUGCUGUGAAAUCCCGAGGCUCAACCUCGGGCCUGCAGUGGGUACGGGCAGACUAGAGUGCGGUAGGGGAGAUUGGAAUUCCUGGUGUAGCGGUGGAAUGCGCAGAUAUCAGGAGGAACACCGAUGGCGAAGGCAGAUCUCUGGGCCGUAACUGACGCUGAGGAGCGAAAGGGUGGGGAGCAAACAGGCUUAGAUACCCUGGUAGUCCACCCCGUAAACGUUGGGAACUAGUUGUGG
RNAcentral lists this ribosomal RNA (740 nucleotides) under Microbacterium aerolatum. RNAcentral's name for it is "bacterial SSU rRNA". It matches the Rfam family "Bacterial small subunit ribosomal RNA", at positions 72 to 825 of the family's 1533-position model. The record is from RNAcentral. Lineage: Bacteria; Bacillati; Actinomycetota; Actinomycetes; Micrococcales; Microbacteriaceae.